This 77-nucleotide transfer RNA is filed under the name Candidatus Peregrinibacteria bacterium. Its description in RNAcentral is "tRNA-Arg". It matches the Rfam family "tRNA". Rfam says of the family: Transfer RNA (tRNA) molecules are approximately 80 nucleotides in length. Their secondary structure includes four short double-helical elements and three loops (D, anti-codon, and T loops). Further hydrogen bonds mediate the characteristic L-shaped molecular structure. tRNAs have two regions of fundamental functional importance: the anti-codon, which is responsible for specific mRNA codon recognition, and the 3' end, to which the tRNAs corresponding amino acid is attached (by aminoacyl-tRNA synthetases). tRNAs cope with the degeneracy of the genetic code in two manners: having more than one tRNA (with a specific anti-codon) for a particular amino acid; and 'wobble' base-pairing, i.e. permitting non-standard base-pairing at the 3rd anti-codon position. Lineage: Bacteria; Candidatus Peregrinibacteriota. The record is from RNAcentral.
GCGCGCGUAGCUCAGCUGGAUAGAGCACCGGUCUUCGGAACCGGGUGUCGGGGGUUCGAAUCCCUCCGCGCGUACCA